UGGGGAAUCUUGCACAAUGGGCGGAAGCCUGAUGCAGCGACGCCGCGUGGGGGAUGACGGCCUUCGGGUUGUAAACUCCUUUCGCCAGGGACGAAGCCGUGAGGUGACGGUACCUGGAUAAGAAGCACCGGCUAACUACGUGCCAGCAUCCGCGGUAAUACGUAGGGUGCGAGCGUUGUCCGGAAUUACUGGGCGUAAAGAGCUCGUAGGUGGUUUGUCGCGUCGUCUGUGAAAUUCCGGGGCUUAACUCCGGUCGUGCAGGCGAUACGGGCAUAACUUGAGUGCUGUAGGGGAGACUGGAAUUCCUGGUGGAGCGGUGAAAUGCGCAGAUAUCAGGAGGAAAACCGAUGGCGAAGGCAGGUAUCUGGGCAGUAACUGACGCUGAGGAGCGAAAGCAUGGGUAGCGAACAGG
This 412-nucleotide ribosomal RNA is filed under the name Bacillota bacterium. Its description in RNAcentral is "Firmicutes bacterium partial 16S ribosomal RNA". It matches the Rfam family "Bacterial small subunit ribosomal RNA", at positions 355 to 776 of the family's 1533-position model. Lineage: Bacteria; Bacillati; Bacillota. The record is from RNAcentral.